Molecule: ribosomal RNA, 253 nt
Filed under: uncultured bacterium
Lineage: Bacteria
Description: partial 16S ribosomal RNA
Rfam family: Bacterial small subunit ribosomal RNA
Source: RNAcentral
UACGAAGGGGGCUAGCGUUGCUCGGAAUCACUGGGCGUAAAGCGCGUGUAGGCGGUUUGUUAAGUCGGAUGUGAAAGCUCCGGGCUCAACCCGGAAAUUGCAUCCGAUACUGGCAGACUUGAGGACGGUAGAGGUCGGUGGAAUGGCGAGUGUACCGGUGAAAUGGGCAGAUAUUCGCCAGAACACCAGUGGCGAAGGCGGCCGACUGGGCCGUUCCUGACGCUGAGACGCGAAAGCGUGGGGAGCAAACAGG